This 391-nucleotide unclassified non-coding RNA is filed under the name soil metagenome. RNAcentral's name for it is "partial contains 5.8S ribosomal RNA, internal transcribed spacer 2, and large subunit ribosomal RNA". The stretch from base 1 to 122 matches the Rfam family "5.8S ribosomal RNA", at positions 35 to 154 of the family's 154-position model. The record is from RNAcentral.
GAUGAAGAACGUAGCGAAAUGCGAUACUUGGUGUGAAUUGCAGAAUCCCGUGAACCAUCGAGUCUUUGAACGCAAGUUGCGCCCGAAGCCAUUAGGCCGAGGGCACGCCUGCCUGGGCGUCACACGUCGUUGCCCCCCCAUCUACUCCUUCGGGAUUGCGGGGGGCGGAUGAUGGCCUCUCGUGCGCCUCGUCGCGCGGUUGGCCUAAAUGCCAAGUCCUCGGCGACGCACGCCACGACAAUCGGUGGUUGCGAAACCUCGGUUGCCUGUCGUGUGCGGUCGUCGCGCAUCUAGGGCUCGAAAAAAUUGCCGGGCUUCGGCUCGACUUUCAACGCGACCCCAGGUCAGGCGGGGUUACCCGCUGAAUUUAAGCAUAUCAAUAAGCGGAGGA